GCUGCUCUCUAAGAAUUGUAAAAGCUGCUGCUAGGCAGUAGGUGAAGACCGUUGUCGCAGGUGUGUCUUCCUGCCCACUUUGGGUGAAUUCGAGCUCAUCGUCCGAAGUAGGAGAGAUACCCUGCAGCAAACUAUAUAUCUGUUAUUGGUUAGUCUGAGAGGAAGAAUUAAAUCAGUUUGGAAACAUACAAAAUAGCAAUUAGAUAUUCGAACACGAUGUAGAAGAUGAAAUUCUAAACCAGGGAAUAUGGAAGAAAUAAAGAAUAUAAUAAUGAUAAUAA
Molecule: long non-coding RNA, 281 nt
Filed under: Elaeis guineensis (African oil palm)
Lineage: Eukaryota; Viridiplantae; Streptophyta; Magnoliopsida; Arecales; Arecaceae
Description: long non-coding RNA (EGUI_LNC021405)
Source: RNAcentral